UAAAUGCCUCUCUGUAUCGAGAUGUGUUAUCUCGACUGAUGAGUCCGAAAGGACGAAACAGAAAGUUCCUU
RNAcentral lists this non-coding RNA (71 nucleotides) under uncultured organism. The record is from RNAcentral.